CCCUAUGGGGUGUCCAUUGAUUUUUUGUACAGCAGCUGUUUUGUCGAUAUCGCCAACAGUCAGUUGCCAAUCUUCUUUUUCUGCAUGAGCCAGCAGAUAAUCAAUCAAACUUGAGGUGCUUAAUCCUGAUCCUAAUAACAGAAUGCGUUUCAUGGUAUUUUUCAGAUAAUCGGUUGUUCUGCUAAAGUAAACAAUUACACUGGUUCGAUGGUGAUUUGAUUGAGGCAACUGAAGGAUAAAUUUUAUCUUUGUUAAAAUCGAAAAACAGAGGAUGGCCGCAAACGAACCACUGGUGGAUACCCCACUGAUGAGGCAGUAUAUGUCUCUGAAACAUAAAUAUCCCGAUGCAGUGUUGCUGUUUAGGGUGGGUGAUUUUUACGAGACGUUUUCAGAUGAUGCAAUAAAAGCAUCAAAAAUAUUGGGCAUAACGCUAACCCGUCGGGCGAAUGGUGCGGCCACGUUUGUUGAAUUGGCGGGGGGGC
RNAcentral lists this ribosomal RNA (482 nucleotides) under uncultured prokaryote. RNAcentral's name for it is "partial 16S ribosomal RNA". The record is from RNAcentral.